GGCCAGGUAGCUCAGUUGGUACGAGCGUCCGCCUGAAAAGCGGAAGGUCGCCGGUUCGAUCCCGGCCCUGGCCACCU
RNAcentral lists this transfer RNA (77 nucleotides) under Mycolicibacterium thermoresistibile. Its description in RNAcentral is "tRNA-Phe". It matches the Rfam family "tRNA". Rfam says of the family: Transfer RNA (tRNA) molecules are approximately 80 nucleotides in length. Their secondary structure includes four short double-helical elements and three loops (D, anti-codon, and T loops). Further hydrogen bonds mediate the characteristic L-shaped molecular structure. tRNAs have two regions of fundamental functional importance: the anti-codon, which is responsible for specific mRNA codon recognition, and the 3' end, to which the tRNAs corresponding amino acid is attached (by aminoacyl-tRNA synthetases). tRNAs cope with the degeneracy of the genetic code in two manners: having more than one tRNA (with a specific anti-codon) for a particular amino acid; and 'wobble' base-pairing, i.e. permitting non-standard base-pairing at the 3rd anti-codon position. Lineage: Bacteria; Bacillati; Actinomycetota; Actinomycetes; Mycobacteriales; Mycobacteriaceae. The record is from RNAcentral. RNAcentral also lists the same sequence under 12 other names.